RNAcentral lists this ribosomal RNA (774 nucleotides) under uncultured bacterium. Its description in RNAcentral is "bacterial SSU rRNA". It matches the Rfam family "Bacterial small subunit ribosomal RNA", at positions 61 to 828 of the family's 1533-position model. The record is from RNAcentral.
GUCGAACGGGAGACCUUCGGGUCUCUAGUGGCGAACGGGUGAGUAACACGUUAGGAACCUGCCCGCGCACCGGGAAUACGCUCUGGAAACGGAGAACAAAUCCCGAUGUACAGGAAGGAGGCAUCUUCUUUCUGUGAAACAUCCUUUAGGGGAUGGGGCGCGGAUGGACCUGCGGUGCAUUAGUUGGUUGGCGGGGUAAAGGCCCACCAAGACGAUGAUGCAUAGCCGGCCUGAGAGGGCGGACGGCCACAUUGGGACUGAGACACGGCCCAGACUCCUGCGGGAGGCAGCAGUAGGGAAUUUUCGUCAAUGGGCGCAAGCCUGAACGAGCGAUGCCGCGUGAGUGAAGAAGGCCUUCGGGUCGUAAAGCUCUGUUGCGGGGGAAAAAAGGCAGCAUCAGGAAAUGGGUGCUGACUGAUGGUGCCCCGCCAGAAAGUCAUGGCUAACUACGUGCCAGCAGCCGCGGUAAUACGUAGGUGGCGAGCGUUAUCCGGAAUGAUUGGGCGUAAAGGGUGCGCAGGCGGUCCUGCAAGUCUGGAGUGAAACGCAUGAGCUCAACUCAUGCAUGGCUUUGGAAACUGGAGGACUGGAGAGCAGGAGAGGGCGGUGGAACUCCAUGUGUAGCGGUAAAAUGCGUAGAUAUAUGGAAGAACACCAGUGGCGAAGGCGGCCGCCUGGCCUGUUGCUGACGCUGAGGCACGAAAGCGUGGGGAGCAAAUAGGAUUAGAUACCCUAGUAGUCCACGCCGUANACGAUGAGGACCAAGUGUUGGGG